RNAcentral lists this ribosomal RNA (465 nucleotides) under Vreelandella stevensii. RNAcentral's name for it is "partial 16S ribosomal RNA". It matches the Rfam family "Bacterial small subunit ribosomal RNA", at positions 338 to 795 of the family's 1533-position model. The record is from RNAcentral. Lineage: Bacteria; Pseudomonadati; Pseudomonadota; Gammaproteobacteria; Oceanospirillales; Halomonadaceae.
CCUACGGGUGGCAGCAGUGGGGAAUAUUGGACAAUGGGGGCAACCCUGAUCCAGCCAUGCCGCGUGUGUGAAGAAGGCCCUCGGGUUGUAAAGCACUUUCAGUGAGGAAGAACGCCUGGUGGUUAAUACCCAUCAGGAAAGACAUCACUCACAGAAGAAGCACCGGCUAACUCCGUGCCAGCAGCCGCGGUAAUACGGAGGGUGCGAGCGUUUAUCGGAAUUACUGGGCGUAAAGCGCGCGUAGGUGGCUUGAUAAGCCGGUUGUGAAAGCCCCGGGCUCAACCUGGGAACGGCAUCCGGAACUGUCAAGCUAGAGUGCAGGAGAGGAAGGUAGAAUUCCCGGUGUAGCGGUGAAAUGCGUAGAGAUCGGGAGGAAUACCAGUGGCGAAGGCGGCCUUCUGGACUGACACUGACACUGAGGUGCGAAAGCGUGGGUAGCAAACAGGAUUAGAUACCCGUGUAGUC